AAGGCAUUAGCUCAAUUGGUUGAGCAACCGUUUUACACACGGAAGGUGUUCAAGUCACCUAUUUUUUA
RNAcentral lists this transfer RNA (68 nucleotides) under Rickettsiaceae bacterium. RNAcentral describes it as "tRNA-Val". It matches the Rfam family "tRNA". Rfam says of the family: Transfer RNA (tRNA) molecules are approximately 80 nucleotides in length. Lineage: Bacteria; Pseudomonadati; Pseudomonadota; Alphaproteobacteria; Rickettsiales; Rickettsiaceae. The record is from RNAcentral.